GGUCCUGACUAGCUCAACUGGUAUAGUGUGGCAUUACCGUUGCCAGGGUUCGAUUCCCACUGGGACCCA
Merluccius polli (Benguela hake) is the source of this 69-nucleotide non-coding RNA. The record is from the annotation of a GenBank genome assembly. NCBI's taxonomy places the organism in Eukaryota, Metazoa, Chordata, Actinopteri, Gadiformes, Merlucciidae.